RNAcentral lists this ribosomal RNA (1265 nucleotides) under Polididus armatissimus. Its description in RNAcentral is "16S ribosomal RNA". Lineage: Eukaryota; Metazoa; Arthropoda; Insecta; Hemiptera; Reduviidae. The record is from RNAcentral.
UUAAUUUUUAAUUUAUGUUUUAUUAUUAGAAAUAACUUUUUUUUAAGUAAAUUUUAUUGAAAUAAUUCUUUUAAUUAUAGUUAAUUAGUACUGUGAAGGAAUUCUUUUUUUGAGUUUAAAGUAAAAUUUAUUUUUUGUACCUUUUGUAUCAGGGUUAAUUAAAAUUAAUUAUGAAUAUAAUUUUCCCGAAAUAAAGAGAGAUAACUUAAUAUGAAUAUUACUGUGUCAAAAUUAUUUUUAAUAUUAAGUUAGUAAUGAAAUGUUAUUCGUUCUUUAAUAUCUGGUUUCUUUAGAAUUAAAUUUAAUUUAGGAUAAAUUCAUUUAAUGAAUAAUUUAGUGUUCAUAAUAUUAAUUUAUCUAAUAAUUUGGGGGAUAAGCUCUAAAUUAAUUUUAUAAUUAGUAUURAAUAAAUUAAUUUUUGUAGGCUUAAAAUCAGCCAUCAUUAAUUUCGUUAUAGAAUAUAUUUAUUAAUUUUUUAUUUAGUUUAAUUUAAUUUUAUAUAAAGAUUAUAAAUUUAAUAAUUAAAUUUAUGUAAUAAUGAUUAAAUAAGUAAGGCUGCUAAUUAAGUUAUAAGAACUCGGCAAUUAUUGUGUUCACCUGUUUAACAAAAACAUGUCCUUUUGAUUUUUAUUUAAGGUCUAGCCUGCCCAAUGAAUAUUUUGAAUGGCCGCGGUAUUUUAACUGUGCUAAGGUAGCAUAAUCAUUUGUCUUUUAAUUGAAGACUAGUAUGAAUGGCUGGAUGAAACAUAAUCUUUUUUUAAUUUAAUUAGCUUGAAUUUAAUUUUUUAGUCAAAAAGCUAAAAUGUUAUUGUAGGACGAGAAGACCCUAUAGAUCUUUAUAUAAAGUAUAUUCGUAUUAUUUAGUUAUGUAAUUCGUGUGUAAUAUAUAAUUAUAUUUGGUUGGGGUGACUUUAGAAUUUGAAAAACUUCUAAUUAAUGUAAAUCACUAAUUAGUGAUUAUUGAUCCAUUAUUAAUGAUUAAAAGUUUAAGUUACCUUAGGGAUAACAGCGUAAUUCUUUCGGAGAGUUCAUAUCGAUGAAGGAGUUUGCGACCUCGAUGUUGGAUUAAAAUAAGUUAUAGGCGUAGCCGUUUAUUAACUAGGUCUGUUCGACCUUUAAUAUUUUACAUGAUCUGAGUUCAGACCGGCGUAAGCCAGGUCAGUUUCUAUCCUCAAUAGAUUACUAUAUUUUAGUACGAAAGGACCAAUUAUAGGGAAAAAUUUUUAUAAUUUGAUUAAUUUUACUAUUUUGGCAGAUUAGUGCGA